RNAcentral lists this ribosomal RNA (468 nucleotides) under uncultured bacterium. Its description in RNAcentral is "partial 16S ribosomal RNA". It matches the Rfam family "Bacterial small subunit ribosomal RNA", at positions 28 to 507 of the family's 1533-position model. The record is from RNAcentral.
GACGAACGCUGGCGGCGUGCUUAACACAUGCAAGUCGAACGGAAAGGCCCUGCUUUUGUGGGGUGCUCGAGUGGCGAACGGGUGAGUAACACGUGAGUAACCUGCCCUUGACUUUGGGAUAACUUCAGGAAACUGGGGCUAAUACCGGAUAGGAGCUCCUGCUGCAUGGUGGGGGUUGGAAAGUUUCGGCGGUUGUGGAUGGACUCGCGGCUUAUCAGCUUGUUGGUGGGGUAGUGGCUUACCAAGGCUUUGACGGGUAGCCGGCCUGAGAGGGUGACCGGCCACAAUGGGACUGAGAGACGGCCCAGACUCCUACGGGAGGCAGCAGUGGGGAGUAUUGCACAAUGGGCGGAAGCGUGAUGCAGCAACGCCGCGUGCGGGAUGACGGCCUUCGGGUUGUAAACCGCUUUCGCCUGUGACGAAGCGUGAGUGACGGUAAUGGGUAAAGAAGCACCGGCUAACUACGUG